GAUGAACGCUAGCGGGAGGCUUAACACAUGCAAGUCGAGGGGUAAAUGGUAGCAAUACUAUGAGACCGGCGGACGGGUGCGUAACGCGUAUGCAACAUACCUUUAGCAGGGGGAUAGCCCGUGGAAACGCGGAUUAAUAUUCCAUAGUCCAGCAGUAUCGCAUGGUACCACUGGUAAAGAUUAAUCGGCUAAAGAUUGGCAUGCGUCUGAUUAGUUAGUUGGUAGGGUAACGGCCUACCAAGGCGACGAUCAGUAGGGGUUCUGAGAGGAUUACCCCCCACACUGGUACUGAGACACGGACCAGACUCCUACGGGAGGCAGCAGUGAGGAAUAUUGGUCAAUGGGCGCAAGCCUGAACCAGCCAUCCCGCGUGCAGGAAGACGGCGCUAUGCGUUGUAAACUGCUUUUCCAGGGAGAGAAACUUGCGCACGUGUUGCGCAAUUGACGGUACCCUGGGAAUAAGCAUCGGCUAACUCCGUGCCAGCAGCCGCGGUAA
Molecule: ribosomal RNA, 496 nt
Filed under: uncultured bacterium
Lineage: Bacteria
Description: bacterial SSU rRNA
Rfam family: Bacterial small subunit ribosomal RNA
Source: RNAcentral